Molecule: transfer RNA, 72 nt
Filed under: Starmerella bacillaris
Lineage: Eukaryota; Fungi; Ascomycota; Dipodascomycetes; Dipodascales; Trichomonascaceae
Description: tRNA-Arg
Rfam family: tRNA
About the family: Transfer RNA (tRNA) molecules are approximately 80 nucleotides in length.
Source: RNAcentral
ACACUUAUAGUUUAAUGGUUAAAACAUUAAUCUACGGAAUUAAAAAUAUAAGUUCAAUUCUUAUUAAGUGUU